Molecule: non-coding RNA, 71 nt
Organism: Phrynosoma platyrhinos (Desert horned lizard)
Lineage: Eukaryota; Metazoa; Chordata; Lepidosauria; Squamata; Phrynosomatidae
Source: the annotation of a GenBank genome assembly
GCCAACAUUGCAUAAUGGUUUGUGUGCUGGACUGUGACUCUGGAAAGCAAGGUUCGAUUCCCAGCUUGGCC